RNAcentral lists this long non-coding RNA (481 nucleotides) under Bos taurus (domestic cattle). Its description in RNAcentral is "long non-coding RNA NONBTAT026516". The record is from RNAcentral. Lineage: Eukaryota; Metazoa; Chordata; Mammalia; Artiodactyla; Bovidae.
AACUAGCCUAGACUCUUAGAACGAACUUUUUGGCCAACACAUCUCAGUUCUUAACGUUAAUCUAUUCUGAGAAUGUCAGUUGGCUUGGCACUGCCUUUAUUGAGCCUACUAGAAUAGACUUUGAAGUUCAAAACUACUCCAAAAUAGCCCUUACACUACUCACUUUAAUCAGGCAAAAGUGAAAAAUUUGACUAGCUAAUACCGAUCACAGCGUUGGGUCUCAUUCAGGCCCUUUUAAAGCCAUAAAAUUUCCUCAGUCGUAUCUCCAGUGGUCCAUUUAAAUCUGUCUCUGGACCCGUAUGUGACCUGAAUAGAAUUAGAGAUUUCCUGAGAAAAGCUGGUUCUUCGCCUAGAAGUUUGAUCUGCCAGGGAAAUUUCCUGGAAGCAUGGCUUGAUUUAGAACCAGUAACAACCUCAUUGCCUUUUUCCCCUUGAUCCUUAAUUGUGCUAGAAUCAAAGGUUGUCUCUGUUGGCAUGUAGA